CCCGCACGGCACGCGCCACGGGUCGGGAUGUGAUCCGGAGGCCGGAUUGAACCAGGAA
The submitters of this non-coding RNA (58 nucleotides) gave its source as unclassified sequences. The record is from Rfam.